Long non-coding RNA from Saccostrea cuccullata (small rock oyster), 847 nucleotides. RefSeq lists it as uncharacterized. NCBI's taxonomy places the organism in Eukaryota, Metazoa, Mollusca, Bivalvia, Ostreida, Ostreidae. The transcript is spliced from 2 exons. The record is from RefSeq and is a predicted model, not a curated record.
CUUUAAAAACAAAGGAUAAUACGGUGAAAAAGGCAACAUUCUGCAAAGUCAGCCGACAGACAGCUUAACUGUAUUGUCCGUGUGCAUACGGACUACCACUGACUUUCCCCUGUAUAUAUUGCGCAGCAUCUUUGUUCGCGUAUCAGACUUUAGCCUGAGACCACAUUAAAUGAUGUAUCGACUGCUGUUGGCUGUGGUGGGUUUAGCUAACCUUCCUUAUAUUCGCACCUGUUGCUCCCCAGAUGUUCUCCAAGGCAAUGCCAUGUAUUAUGGAUAUAUGGUCGAGGAAAAGAGUCUUAUCAGAAUAUGGUAAAAUUUUACUACGAUGCGGAUAAAAAGAAAAUAGCAACGAUAACAACCAAUAUGGGGAACAGGACAGGACAGGUCAGAGAUAUAUACGACUUCGCCGCAGGGAAACGUUACGUCAUAACCGACAACAGCUCCUGUAACGUCACGAAACUGAAACGUUCCUUCGAAAAGAUCUGCGUUCCGUCUAGCGCAAAGUUUAUGGGUUCCGCUGACCUCGGAAACAGCGAGGCCAAAAUGAGCGUCGAUAUGUACAGAUUGAAAGUUAAAAAAGGUAAAAUGUCUGGCGAGGCGGACAUAAUGGUGACGCCGAUGGACGGUGGGAAGUGUACCUUGGUAGGAGUAGUGAUGAGCGGGGGAAAGGACGGAGAAAUUCAGAUGACGGAAACCUCUGUUUAUAUGAACUUUACGUUUGAAAUAUCUGACAAAUCUGUAUUCCAACCACCGAAGCAGUGCUAUAGGAACAACGAAAGCGAAAGCCUCCUGUUUGAAGUUUUAGGAGGAAUCCGAAGAGAAAUUUACAUCUUUUAGAAUCCAAAAA